This 415-nucleotide ribosomal RNA is filed under the name uncultured crenarchaeote. Its description in RNAcentral is "partial 16S ribosomal RNA". It matches the Rfam family "Archaeal small subunit ribosomal RNA", at positions 330 to 747 of the family's 1478-position model. Lineage: Archaea; Thermoproteati; Thermoproteota. The record is from RNAcentral.
GUGCAGCAGGCGCGAAACCUUCACAAUGGGCGAAAGCCUGAUGAGGCUAUUUCGAGUGCCACCCGCUAAGGGUGACUUUUCCCCAGUCUAAACAGCUUGGGGAAUAAGGGGAGGGCAAGCCUGGUGUCAGCCGCCGCGGUAAUACCCGCUCCCCGAGUGGUCGGGACGGUUAUUUGGCCUAAAGCAUCCGUAGCCGGUCCUGUCCGUCUUCCGUUAAAUCUAACGGCCCAACCGCUAGGCUGCGGGAGAUACCGUAGGACUAGGAGACGGGAGAGGCGGACGGUACUCCAGGGGUAGGGGUAAAAUCCUCUGAUCCUUGGAAGACCACCAGCGGCGAAGGCGGUCCGCCAGAACGUGCUCGACGGUGAGGGAUGAAAGCUGGGGGAGCGAACCGGAUUAGAUACCCGCGUAGUCC